Molecule: long non-coding RNA, 280 nt
Organism: Nothoprocta perdicaria
Lineage: Eukaryota; Metazoa; Chordata; Aves; Tinamiformes; Tinamidae
Exons: 3
Source: RefSeq, a predicted model, not a curated record
UGAGAACACUUUUUUCCUGAGCGAUUCCAGCUUCCAGACACAUUUGCCAUGAUAAGGGUUUCAGUCCUUUCCCGUGCUUGCUCUGAGCCAUGAAUGGAUAUGUGUGAUGCCUGCAAGUAAAACCAGGUAAGAAGAGUGACCUCUCUGGGUGGCUGUGACUGAAGAUCGCUUCACGGGAGCACCCGAGGAAGGAGCUUUUCAGUUCAUUCUGGAUAAAGAAACUCGCUUAUGAAGAAGAUUUUCCCUGUAUCAUCCUCCCUCUUUAAUCUGGUCCUGGAUU